Molecule: unclassified non-coding RNA, 297 nt
Filed under: Hevea brasiliensis (rubber tree)
Lineage: Eukaryota; Viridiplantae; Streptophyta; Magnoliopsida; Malpighiales; Euphorbiaceae
Source: RNAcentral
GGUGUAGUAACUUCUAUUUCAGUAUCAAAACGCCCUGACCUUCUUAGUGCAGGGUCAAUUGCAUCAACUCUGUUAGUUGAUGCAACCACAACAACGUGCGCUGAAGAUGUAGAUGAGUGUUUAUUGGCAUCCAUCAAAGUAAAUAGUUGAGAAGCUACACGAACAUCCUGCUCGCGUCUUGAAUCACGACGUGGACAUAGUGCAUCUAUUUCAUCUAUAAAAAUCACGGAUGGCUUGCCUAGCUGUGCAUGAGAUGCUGCCUCUGCAAAUGCCUCACGCAAACUUUUCUCACUUUCC